RNAcentral lists this ribosomal RNA (484 nucleotides) under uncultured bacterium. RNAcentral describes it as "partial 16S ribosomal RNA". It matches the Rfam family "Bacterial small subunit ribosomal RNA", at positions 30 to 507 of the family's 1533-position model. The record is from RNAcentral.
AUUGAACGCUGGCGGCAGGCCUAACACAUGCAAGUCGAGCGGAUGAAGGGAGCUUGCUCCUGGAUUCAGCGGCGGACGGGUGAGUAAUGCCUAGGAAUCUGCCUGGUAGUGGGGGAUAACGUCCGGAAACGGGCGCUAAUACCGCAUACGUCCUGAGGGAGAAAGUGGGGGAUCUUCGGACCUCUCGCUAUCAGAUGAGCCUAGGUCGGAUUAUCUAGUUGGUGGGGUAAAGGCCUACCAAGGCGACGAUCCGUAACUGGUCUGAGAGGAUGAUCAGUCACACUGGAACUGAGACACGGUCCAGACUCCUACGGGAGGCAGCAGUGGGGAAUAUUGGACAAUGGGCGAAAGCCUGAUCCAGCCAUGCCGCGUGUGUGAAGAAGGUCUUCGGAUUGUAAAGCACUUUAAGUUGGGAGGAAGGGCAGUAAGUUAAUACCUUGCUGUUUUGACGUUACCAACAGAAUAAGCACCGGCUAACUUCGUG